ACGUCUCAGUUCGGAUUGUAGUCUGCAACUCGACUACAUGAAGCUGGAAUCGCUAGUAAUCGCGAAUCAGAAUGUCGCGGUGAAUACGUUCCCGGGUCUUGUACACACCGCCCGUCACACCAUGGGAGUUGGGAAUGCCCGAAGCCGGUGACCUAACCGAAAGGGAGGAGCCGUCGAAGGCAGGCUUGAUAACUGGGGUGAAGUCGUAACAAGGUAAC
This 218-nucleotide ribosomal RNA is filed under the name uncultured bacterium. Its description in RNAcentral is "partial 16S ribosomal RNA". It matches the Rfam family "Bacterial small subunit ribosomal RNA", at positions 1283 to 1500 of the family's 1533-position model. The record is from RNAcentral.